UGGAGGCAGCAGUAAGGAAUUUUCGGCAAUGGGCGAAAGCCUGACCGAGCAACGCCGCGUGAGUGAUGAAGGCCUUCGGGUUGUAAAGCUCUGUUGUUAGGGAAGAAUGAUCAGGAUAGGAAAUGAUCUUGAAGUGACGGUACCUAACCAGAAAGCCACGGCUAACUACGUGCCAGCAGCCGCGGUAAUACGUAGGUGGCAAGCGUUAUCCGGAAUUAUUGGGCGUAAAGGGUGCGUAGGCGGUUUCUUAAGUCUUAUGUGAAAUCUCAGAGCUUAACUCUGGGCUGCAUAAGAAACUAUUAGACUAGAGUGCAGGAGAGGGCAACGGAAUUCCAUGUGUAGCGGUAAAAUGCGUAGAUAUAUGGAGGAACACCGGUGGCGAAGGCGGUUGCCUGGCCUGUUACUGACGCUGAAGCACGAAAGCGUGGGGAGCAAAUAGGAUUAGAUACCCUGGUAGUCG
This 460-nucleotide ribosomal RNA is filed under the name uncultured bacterium. Its description in RNAcentral is "bacterial SSU rRNA". It matches the Rfam family "Bacterial small subunit ribosomal RNA", at positions 343 to 796 of the family's 1533-position model. The record is from RNAcentral.